Molecule: ribosomal RNA, 774 nt
Filed under: uncultured Neocallimastigales
Lineage: Eukaryota; Fungi; Neocallimastigomycota; Neocallimastigomycetes; Neocallimastigales
Description: partial large subunit ribosomal RNA
Rfam family: Eukaryotic large subunit ribosomal RNA
Source: RNAcentral
CGCAUCUGUGCAUGCAGCAUAUCAAUAAGCGGAGGAAAAGAAACUAACAAGGAUUCCCCUAGUAACGGCGAGUGAAGCGGGAAGAGCUCAAAUUUGAAAUCUUAAAGGGUUUCCCUUUACGAAUUGUAGUUUAAAGAAGUGUUUUCUGUUGAGGUUUUGGUAAAAGUUCUUUGGAAUAGGACAUCACAGAGGGUGAGAAUCCCGUAUUUGACCUUUACUUUCAACUUUGUGAUACACUUUCAAAGAGUCGGAUUGUUUGGGAAUGCAGUCCGAAAUGGGUGGUAAAUUUCAUCUAAAGCUAAAUAUUGGCGAGAGACCGAUAGCGAACAAGUACCGUGAGGGAAAGAUGAAAAGAACUUUGAAAAGAGAGUUAAACAGUACGUGAAAUUGUCAAAAGGGAAGCGUUUGACACCAGUGUUGUUUUUCUGAAAAUCAAUUAAAGAACUGUUUAUGCUAAGUUGUUUAGACUUUAUCAGCUAACUGUUUAGUUUUGAGCUUUUCUUUAAUGCACUUUUCAGUUAACAAGUCAACAUCAAUUUCUUUUGCUGUAAAAAAGCUUGAGGAAGGUGGCUUGAGAUUCGUCUUAAGUGUUUAUAGCCUCUUGCCUAUGCAGUCGGAGAGAUUGAGGUCUGCAGCGUAGAUCCUUCGGGGCUAAAUGCAUUUGUGCUAAGUUAUAGCAUUUUAUAGACAACUUGUUGACUAUGAUUUGUCUUGUAGCUUACUCGCUUAUGUUAUUUUACCUACGCUUAGGAUGUUGAACGCGCACAGAGUCUC